AUUGAACGCUGGCGGCAGGCCUAACACAUGCAAGUCGAGCGGAUGAAGGGAGCUUGCUCCUGGAUUCAGCGGCGGACGGGUGAGUAAUGCCUAGGAAUCUGCCUGGUAGUGGGGGAUAACGUCCGGAAACGGGCGCUAAUACCGCAUACGUCCUGAGGGAGAAAGUGGGGGAUCUUCGGACCUCACGCUAUCAGAUGAGCCUAGGUCGGAUUAGCUAGUUGGUGGGGUAAAGGCCUACCAAGGCGACGAUCCGUAACUGGUCUGAGAGGAUGAUCAGUCACCCUGGAACCUAGACCCCGGUCCAGCCUCUUACGGAGGCACCCAUUGGGGAUAUUUGACCAUGGGGCGAAGCCCUGUCCCGCCAAGCCGGCUGUGUUGAGGAAGGCUUUCGGUUGUUAAGCACUUUAAGUUGGGAGGAAGGGCAGUAAGUUAAUACCUUGCUGUUUUGACGUUACCAACAGAAUAAGCACCGGCUAACUUCGUG
This 484-nucleotide ribosomal RNA is filed under the name uncultured bacterium. RNAcentral describes it as "partial 16S ribosomal RNA". It matches the Rfam family "Bacterial small subunit ribosomal RNA", at positions 30 to 507 of the family's 1533-position model. The record is from RNAcentral.